Molecule: long non-coding RNA, 385 nt
Organism: Thunnus maccoyii (southern bluefin tuna)
Lineage: Eukaryota; Metazoa; Chordata; Actinopteri; Scombriformes; Scombridae
Exons: 5
Source: RefSeq, a predicted model, not a curated record
GAUGGAUUCAAUAUAAAAUAUAUUAAUUCAUUUAAAGGUCGAGGAGUGUUCAGUUGCCGCCACUUUCAGAAGGGAGACUUUCUUAUUGAAUAUCGAUUGGAAAUCAAACAGGAACAUGAAAACAGGCUAAGACUGUACCACGAUGCCCUGAAGGUUUUCAUGUUUGAAUUUCUCUACAAUGGGGAAAAAACUAUGUAUUGAUGCAGCCAGAGAGGACGACUCUCUAGGGAGACUCGUCAACGAUGAUCAUGACAUCAGGCCAGGGGAAGAGAUAACCUACAACUAUGGAGAUUCGGACUGGCCAUGGAGAUUAAAGGUUUCAACUGAAGCACAUCCUCACCAUGCAGCCUGGGCAUCUGACUGCACCAAAGAUGUUAAACAGGUG